This is a long non-coding RNA of Cydia pomonella (codling moth), 4509 nucleotides long. RefSeq lists it as uncharacterized. Lineage: Eukaryota; Metazoa; Arthropoda; Insecta; Lepidoptera; Tortricidae. The transcript is spliced from 2 exons. The record is from RefSeq and is a predicted model, not a curated record.
CGUCGUACUGCCACUUGCGCAGGCCCAGCACGCCGCACAGCACGCGCCCCGUAUGGAUGCCCACUCGCAUGUUCAGCUGUACAUCAGUCGCUUCUACUACAGAUCUGAAACAAUAAUAGUAUGAGUUGCCUCUAUUCGUCAUGGACCCCAUCAUCAGAACUCGAACUAGACAAAAAAUUGCCUUAAAAAUCUAAUUUGCUUCACAAACACAGCGAAGAGGACAAAUCGCCAAACGUGAACUAUGCGUCGUUGAAGAGUUCCCUCAUCAUCAUCAGUUCCACUUCAUCAAUCGUCACUUUUUAAAUGUAUGCUCUUCACAUUUGAAGAGUUCCUCAUGGAUCCCAUCAUCAAGUCGGUUAAAAACGUUAUGUCCAUUAUGAGGUUCAAAUAUCAAUCACACGCGUGAGCCCUGAAGUUCCAAGUUCCCAUAGAAUGACUUUUCAACUAAAGUACAAUACCACUAUGCUACUAACGAGCAAGUUUUCUCAUCAAAGUGUUUAUCCUCAUCACCUUUUUGUUUCAAUACUUAUAAACUUUAUAAUAUUUACAAAGUCGGAUUUUAUAAUGACCAAUAAGUUAUUUUAGACGUACACUGCAGUGGUUAUAGAAGCGUUCUUUCGGUAGAACUAUUGUGGUAACUGAAUGGGUUUGAUGACUUUUAUGUCGAUACUAUUGACGCCGCGUAUUAGGACACGUCACGCAAUACAAUUAACUGACAAGCCCAGGAACAGUCCCGUGAAACUUAAAAUAUCAAUUUGGGUCAAGGACAAAAGCUUGUUUUACAAUACUGAGAAUAUAUCUCAAAAAUAAUCUUUAAAAAUCCUUAAUGAAGGACACGUACUAACGUAAGUCAUAAAGAAUAUGCGUUUAAAAAAUACUGAAAGACGUCUGAAGAAGUUUACCAAAUCGACAAGCACUUCCAAUUCCAACAAAACAAUAUAUUUUCAAGAUUAAGUAGGUACUAAAAGUCUUACUCUUCUAGUAUAUUUUACUACUCUUUCUAGUGACUUUCACUAAAAAAUUAACGGGCAUUUGGAUAAACAUGAAGAAGAUAGAUGUAUCAAUGUAGGUGGACUGCAUCCAUCUGUCUGAUUACUCGCACAUCUGAUCUAUUUAUUUAACUCAAUUUCAAACUGAACUAAAGAAUGUAAUCAAGGAAUCGUAAGUAAAACAAACUGCGCUAUCAACUGGCGAUUUCCUGCUUAUAAAUCAGAGUAUUUCAAACAGAAGCUUGGUCUGCCAUUCUUCAAACGGGUGAGGUUUCGAACGCGGACUAAUCGCUUGAAUUCUGUAAAUACCAGCCAGAUAAAGACGCGAUAACAGUACGAUGAUUUACAAUGCCAGUAAUUACGUAUAGCUACUUUAUCCAUUAUGGUUUUAAGUAUGUACCUAAUAUCGAAGAAAGUUCAUAAACACUGAAGACAUAAAGGAAGCACUAUCAAUUUCAUUUCGAGACUGUGGCCAUGACCGAUCGAAGGUCGACGGACAAAACGUCUGACAUAACUUCAAAAGCCAGAAACCUCAUAAAAUCAUGUGUGUAUUAUGCUUUCAAUGUAUUAACGAGAUCGUAGCGGUUAAUAAUUUAGAGUAUCAACAGCAGAACGCCUGCCCCGUUGGAUAUUUAUACGCAAAUAAUAACCAAAUAACGAAUACAGUUAUAUUGAUAAAAAGCGAAGUCAUCGCGCCUAAUGGAUGAAAGCUUCAUAAUCCAGACAGAAGGAAAUAAUUUAUUUUAUGCUUUGUUAAGCCUCUCUAAUACCAAACCUUUUUGCCAAAACAUCGAUUAGAGCCUACUCAAUUAUUUCGUGUUUAUUUUCACUUAAUCUAAUAACUUCCCUUUUUAUGUCGCAAGGUUAGUCUAACAACUUCCUGGUGUAACGGCGGGCCUAUUAAUAGGCUGAUACUUAUUAAUUACAAGGUAAUCUAACAAACUUAACGUUUACUUAUUUAUGAAUCGUGAUAAAUAAGCUCCAGUUAAUUUAGCUACGUAUUUUUACAGCCGCAACUGGGUUUACUGGCGACAAAUUAAUCGAGGUUAUAGCGUUUUUACGACCGUUUUGAUUCAUGAAAAGUGUAACGUCGGGAUGUCUGUUAUUAAUCGACACAAUGCCUGGCAUACGUUCGCUUAUUACUUUUAUGGUGUUUAGAAACAGUAUAACUAACUAUAGUACUUAUUUAUUGCUUCUACACAAUUGUUAUAUCCACUACAGUAAUGUACUAACUCGGGGCCGCCUUCUGAAAGCAUAAGCAAUAGGCAUAAGUUACCAAAUGAACGCAUGUAAAUUAAUUAAGUAGCUGAGCAAUUAACGUAACAUAAAUUAAUCAAGGCGCAGACUGGGCGCGCAUAAUUUUUCAUUAGGAGACGACGGCAGAUUCGCAGGACCGAAUUAAGAUUCUCGAGAUAACUAGCUUUAUUUCCCCUUUAGCGUUAAUUGCCAAAAAGUUAUUACUCCUUAACGAAACAAACCAAAUGUCUACUAAAUUGAAAUGGAUACCAAAAGCCGUAUUUAUUUUGAAAGCAUCGUUUCAGGAAUCGGUAAACGAUAAAAUUGUGGAGUAGGUUGAUUGUGGAAAUGAUCUAAUUGGGCAUUGUGUUGGAAUAUAGUAAAAGUAGGUCAACAAGAAUUAUUAGCCUACAAGACAGCCGUAUUCCGCUCCAGUGACUCCCUGUCAAUAGCACAGCCAGAGCCACGCUACCUGAAAGGAAACUCGAGCAAAUAUGGGUAAUCCGGACCUCUGUAAACUUAAUUAAUUUAAAUGUAUCAACUUUGUAUUUUAUCAUUUUAGAACUUUCUUUGUUGGAGGUUACAAAAUACUACGGACUGAGAAAACAAAUCAAGUUACUGUUGAAGCUCAGUUUUAUAUAUGAAUAUUUAUCGGGUACCGGAAUCCAAUAUCGGAGCGUCGAACCGCUUCUAACCCAAGACAAACUGGGAUUGUUUAAUAAUAUAUCUCUGCCUACAAACUCCAGUAAGCUACAAAUUUGUAUUGAAGAUCGGUUACUAAGUUCAAUCUCAAAAGGUAAACUAUUUUAAAAGUAUGUAGCAAUAUCAAUUACUAUAAUAUGUGUAAUAAGCCCAAUAAAAUAAACAUCCCGUUAAGUGUAAACUAAAUACUAUGCUGAGUGAGUAAUUGGCUCGCCAAAUAGGGCUUAAGUAGGUAAACAACUACGAUUGAUACGCAAUUUGUACCCAGUAGUUGUAAACGCACUGAUGUGAUGUGCCUAACUAAAUUGAAUUAUAAUCCUAGACCGACGAGAGCCGAUCCGCAGCCCCACAGACGCCGCCUAACACAAUUAUGAUAUGUUAAUUUCGCUUUGUCAUAAUCAUAACUGCUACGAAAAACUUGCAAAGUCAAGCCGGGAAACAGAUGUUUUGUCUUACAGGGAUUUAACGGAAGUCAAUUACUGAACCACUUUUUCACUUAACCCUUUUCCAGGCCGCACCAAUCUACAAGGUUUCCCAAAAAAUCCAAAUAUAUUCCAAUUAAUCCAGCUUUGAUGAUUCAUUUGAAGACAAGUAACAUUUCCUGAAGGUGUAGUCUAAUUUGAACCUUAAAUCGGAAUGCUAAAGUUGAAAUUCUAAUGGCACGUAUGUGAGCGAUAAAUCGUACUAUGCCUGGAAAAGGGUUAAGGUUUGUUGAAGAAAACCUUUGAGAUGGAUAAGGUUGCGCUAUUUCUGUGCCGGAAAUUUGUGUUUUAAUGUAAUAAGUGGACGCGAAUGUAACAUCACAAACACUGAAUAUGGGGCAUAUUAGUUUGCCUUUUUGAGCCCUCCUCUCGUUCCGACACAUGUCAGAUACGGCAACCACCCCUGAAUAUGGAAUUACUCGGAUCACUUGCUCUUGGGACGAAACGAAAACUUGUUUGACACACUGAUCUACGUUAUUUGAUGUCGUAUUACGAAACAAACAUUAAAGGGCCACUUUAGCCGGGUCGGGAGUGAACCCUUCCCUUAGAAACUUGUUAGUUAAGGAAGGAACUAACAUUUCAGUAAUUUAAUUGAUUGGUAUGCUUAUACGAGUAUAAUAAAUUUGUCGCCUAGGACUAGGGUUUCUUCUCGAGAAUUUUCGAGGCGAGAAAUUUGUACUUUGUCGAGACGGGAAAAAAAAUUCAAUGACUCGAGAACUUGAGAAAUAAAUCUCGUGUGAUAAGUAAAAAGAAAACACGGGUAUAACACGUGAUGUGUCUAAAGUGUAUUUCUUUAUGUAGUUAAAUAAAUGUAAACAAUGUUUUUUUUUUUUAAUUUUCAGUUACUUAAAACAUUUAUUAGUUAACCAUCCAAAUAAAAAAACUGCCUCGAUCCGUCCCCUAUCGUUCUGGCUUCUUCUUGCAAUUUUCAUGAUUUGAAACUUUUGAACUUAACUACUACCCUCUAAUGUCUAAAGAAUUCGUCUCGUUUUAGAUUCAUUACUAGGUUACUUCUUUUUUAAUCGUAUAUGAUUCAUAAUUGUUCCAUAUUUGCUUCGGCUUAUUUUUUAAGUGUUUUUCAAUAAAAUUACAUGUCAGGA